This 1394-nucleotide ribosomal RNA is filed under the name uncultured bacterium. Its description in RNAcentral is "bacterial SSU rRNA". It matches the Rfam family "Bacterial small subunit ribosomal RNA". The record is from RNAcentral.
AGUUUGAUCCUGGCGCAAGAUGAACGCUGGCGGGGUGCAUAAGACGUUCAAGUCGAACGGACUUUAUUGAAUGAAUCCUUCGGGAAGCGUGUAGUAGAGUUAGUGGCGGACGGGUGAGUAACGCGUGAGCAACCUACCUGCUAAAGAAGGAUAACAGUUGGAAACGGGUGCUAAUGCCAGAUAAAGCAUAUGAAUCGCAUGAGAGAGAUGUCAAAGCUGAGGCGAGAGCAGAGGGGCUCGCGUAUGAUUAGGCAGGUGGUGAGGUAACGGCUCACCAAACCUACGAUCAUUAGCCGAACUGAGAGGUUGAACGGCCACAUUGGAACUGAGAAACGGUCCAGACUCCUACGGGAGGCAGCAGUGGGGAAUAUUGGGCAAUGGGCGAAAGCCUGACCCAGCGACGCCGCGUGAGGGAAGAAGGUCUUCGGAUUGUAAACCUCUUUCAGCAGGGAAGAAGAAAGUGACGGUACCUGCAGAAGAAGUCACGGCUAACUACGUGCCAGCAGCCGCGGUAAUACGUAGGUGGCGAGCGUUGUCCGGAAUGACUGGGCGUAAAGGGCGUGUAGGCGGCAUUGUAAGUCCGGAGUGAAAGUCCUGCUUUCAAGGUGGGAAUUGCUUUGGAGACUGCAGAGCUUGAGUACAGAAGAGGUAAGCGGAAUUCCCGGUGUAGCGGUGAAAUGCGUAGAGAUCGGGAGGAACACCAGUGGCGAAGGCGGCUUACUGGGCUGUAACUGACGCUGAGGCGCGAAAGCGUGGGGAGCGAACAGGAUUAGAUACCCUGGUAGUCCACGCGGUAAACGAUGAAUGCUAGGUAUAGGGGGUAUCGACCCCUCCUGUGCCGGAGUAAACACAAUAAGCAUUCCGCCUGGGGAGUACGGCCGCAAGGUUGAAACUCAAAGGAAUUGACGGGGGCCCGCACAAGCAGCGGAGCAUGUUGUUUAAUUCGACGCAACGCGAAGAACCUUACCAGGGCUUGACAUCCAAUGAAUACCUUGGAAACAAGGUAGUGCCCUUCGGGGAGCAUUGAGACAGGUGGUGCAUGGUUGUCGUCAGCUCGUGUCGUGAGAUGUUGGGUUAAGUCCCGCAACGAGCGCAACCCCUAUGGUCAGUUGCCAGCACGGAAAGGUGGGAACUCUGACAAGGCUGCCGUGGAUAACACGGAGGAAGGUGGGGACGACGUCAAAUCAUCAUGCUCCUUAUGUCCUGGGCUACAAACGUGCUACAAUGGUCGUAACAAAGGGAAGCGAACCUGUGAGGGAGAGCAGAACCGAAAAAAGCGAUCUCAGUUCGGAUUGUGGGCUGCAACCCGCCCACAUGAAGUUGGAGUUGCUAGUAAUCGCGGAUCAGAAUGCCGCGGUGAAUGCGUUCCCGGGCCUUGCACACACCGCCCGUCA